Long non-coding RNA from Cololabis saira (Pacific saury), 227 nucleotides. RefSeq lists it as uncharacterized. The record is from RefSeq and is a predicted model, not a curated record. The transcript is spliced from 3 exons. NCBI's taxonomy places the organism in Eukaryota, Metazoa, Chordata, Actinopteri, Beloniformes, Belonidae.
GAGAAGAGAAGCAACCAGGAGUUUGACUGCAGCAACAAGAGUGUUUGCGGUCCUCCUCAUUACUGCGUCAGCGUCAUGUGGACAACAUGACUGUGUCUGCAGACACCACCACCAGAGGAGGAACUUUCCUAUGCCAGUGUCUACUUUUCAGAAGAACCAGAGGAAGCUGUUUAUUCCAACACUGGACCAGUUCAGUCUCACAGAUGUGUGAUGCCAGAGAGAGAAGA